CCUACGGGAGGCAGCAGUGGGGAAUAUUGCACAAUGGGCGCAAGCCUGAUGCAGCAACGCCGCGUGAGGGACGAAGGCCUUCGGGUUGUAAACCUCUUUUAGUAGGGAAGAAGCGACUGGGUUUUCCUGGGAGUGACGGUACCUGCAGAAAAAGCACCGGCUAACUACGUGCCAGCAGCCGCGGUAAUACGUAGGGUGCAAGCGUUGUCCGGAAUUAUUGGGCGUAAAGAGCUCGUAGGCGGUUUGUCGCGUCUGCUGUGAAAACCCGAGGCUCAACCUCGGGCCUGCAGUGGGUACGGGCAGACUAGAGUGCGGUAGGGGAGAUUGGAAUUCCUGGUGUAGCGGUGGAAUGCGCAGAUAUCAGGAGGAACACCAAUGGCGAAGGCAGAUCUCUGGGCCGUAACUGACGCUGAGGAGCGAAAGCAUGGGGAGCGAACAGGAUUAGAUACCCUGGUAGUCCAUGCCGUAAACGUUGGGAACUAGAUGUGGGGACCAUUCCACGGUCUCCGUGUCGCAGCUAACGCAUUAAGUUCCCCGCCUGGGGAGUACGGCCGCAAGGCUAAAACUCAAAGGAAUUGACGGGGGCCCGCACAAGCGGCGGAGCAUGCGGAUUAAUUCGAUGCAACGCGAAGAACCUUACCAAGGCUUGACAUAUACCGGAAACGGCUGGAAACAGUCGCCCCGCAAGGUCGGUAUACAGGUGGUGCAUGGUUGUCGUCAGCUCGUGUCGUGAGAUGUUGGGUUAAGUCCCGCAACGAGCGCAACCCUCGUCCUAUGUUGCCAGCACGUAAUGGUGGGAACUCAUGGGAUACUGCCGGGGUCAACUCGGAGGAGGGUGGGGAUGACGUCAAAUCAUCAUGCCCCUUAUGUCUUGGGCUUCACGCAUGCUACAAUGGCCGGUACAAAGGGCUGCGAUACCGCAAGGUGGAGCGAAUCCCAAAAAGCCGGUCUCAGUUCGGAUUGAGGUCUGCAACUUGACCUCAUGAAGUCGGAGUCGCUAGUAAUCGCAGAUCAGCAACGCUGCGGCGAAUACGUUCCCGG
This 1041-nucleotide ribosomal RNA is filed under the name uncultured Cryobacterium sp. RNAcentral describes it as "bacterial SSU rRNA". It matches the Rfam family "Bacterial small subunit ribosomal RNA", at positions 338 to 1377 of the family's 1533-position model. Lineage: Bacteria; Bacillati; Actinomycetota; Actinomycetes; Micrococcales; Microbacteriaceae. The record is from RNAcentral.